This 340-nucleotide long non-coding RNA is filed under the name Manihot esculenta (cassava). RNAcentral describes it as "long non-coding RNA (MESC_LNC009951)". The record is from RNAcentral. Lineage: Eukaryota; Viridiplantae; Streptophyta; Magnoliopsida; Malpighiales; Euphorbiaceae.
UGAGUCCUGAACUUAAACACGAAAAUGGUAUUGGGAUCUUUCACCUCACACAGGCUUGCUAGCUUCUCCUUCAGCUCUGCCUCGGAAACAUUGGGUCUUCCAGGAUGAAGACCAUCAAUUGUGAAUUGCUUCCUGGAAUAACAGACGGUUAGUGACCAAGCAUAAUUUAGCCAUGUUUUUAAUAUAUUAUUUACUGUUUAUUUACAUAUUUUUCUAGCUUAAAUUGUGUUUUUGUUAUGUUUUUAUAGAAAAGGAAGAAAUUGAAGAGUUGGAGAAAAAGUGCAGAAAAUGACAGCAAAAGUGAUUUGCCCAGUGAUUAGCCCAACUCACUCUCAGANNN